AGUGAACGCUGGCGGUAGGCCUAACACAUGCAAGUCGAACGGCAGCACAGGAGAGCUUGCUCUCUGGGUGGCGAGUGGCGGACGGGUGAGGAAUACAUCGGAAUCUGCCCAGUCGUGGGGGAUAACGUAGGGAAACUUACGCUAAUACCGCAUACGACCUUCGGGUGAAAGAGGGGGAUCGCAAGACCUCUCGCGAUUGGAUGAGCCGAUGUCGGAUUAGCUAGUUGGCGGGGUAAUGGCUCACCAAGGCGACGAUCCGUAGCUGGUCUGAGAGGAUGAUCAGCCACACUGGAACUGAGACACGGUCCAGACUCCUACGGGAGGCAGCAGUGGGGAAUAUUGGACAAUGGGCGCAAGCCUGAUCCAGCCAUACCGCGUGGGUGAAGAAGGCCUUCGGGUUGUAAAGCCCUUUUGUUGGGAAAGAAAUCUUUCAGGCUAAUACCCUGGGAGGAUGACGGUACCCAAAGAAUAAGCACCGGCUAACUUCGUG
This 490-nucleotide ribosomal RNA is filed under the name uncultured bacterium. RNAcentral's name for it is "partial 16S ribosomal RNA". It matches the Rfam family "Bacterial small subunit ribosomal RNA", at positions 29 to 507 of the family's 1533-position model. The record is from RNAcentral.